AAGUCGUAACAAGGUAUCCGUAGGUGAACCUGCGGAUGGAUCAUUACUAAAUUUGCUCAUAUAUCAAUGUAUAUAUGUCAAAUCAUAUCACCGUGCAACAUGGAGAGCUCCGGCUCUCUAUUAUCAUUAUUACUGCCUUACUGAUGCGUCUACGUCUAAUAGAUUAAAACUUUUAGCAACGGAUCUCUAGGCUCUC
RNAcentral lists this unclassified non-coding RNA (196 nucleotides) under fungal sp. RNAcentral's name for it is "partial internal transcribed spacer region". The stretch from base 1 to 46 matches the Rfam family "Eukaryotic small subunit ribosomal RNA", at positions 1786 to 1831 of the family's 1831-position model. Lineage: Eukaryota; Fungi. The record is from RNAcentral.